GCAAACUUGGUCAUUUAGAGGAAGUAAAAGUCGUAACAAGGUUUCCGUAGGUGAACCUGCGGAAGGAUCAUUACCGAGUGUGACCCCCCGUAAAAAAGGGGGUACCUCCCGUCCUUUGCUAGGCACUCCUCUCCCCCAAAUUUUUUUUUGGGAAGGGGAAGCUUUUUCAAAACCUUCUGCUUCGGUGGGUUUACCCCCGCCGGAACAACCUCAAAAAUUCUUAUUACAACUGUUCUGUCCGAGAAAACUUUUAAAAGCGAAAAAACUUUCAACAACGGAUCUCUUGGUUCUGGCAUCGAUGAAGAACGCAGC
RNAcentral lists this unclassified non-coding RNA (312 nucleotides) under uncultured fungus. Its description in RNAcentral is "partial contains small subunit ribosomal RNA, internal transcribed spacer 1, and 5.8S ribosomal RNA". The stretch from base 1 to 73 matches the Rfam family "Eukaryotic small subunit ribosomal RNA", at positions 1759 to 1831 of the family's 1831-position model. Lineage: Eukaryota; Fungi. The record is from RNAcentral.